GACGAACGUUGGCGGCGUGCUUAAUACAUGCAAGUCAACUUGACUUUAGAUAGCAAUAUCGAAAAGUAGGGUGGCGCACGGGUGCGUAACGCGUAGGUAAUCUGCCCUGAGGUCUGACAUAACCCGUCGAAAGGCGGGCUAACAUCAGAUGAUAUAUAAUCACGACAUCGUGGAAAAUAUCAAAUCUUCGGAGCCUUGGGAUGAGCCUGCGUCUGAUUAGGUAGUUGGCGGAGUAAUAGCCCACCAAGCCUACGAUCAGUAGCUGGUCUGAGAGGAUGAUCAGCCACACUGGAACUGAGACACGGUCCAGACUCCUACGGGAGGCAGCAGUAAGGAAUAUUGCUCAAUGGGGGAAACCCUGAAGCAGCAACGCCGCGUGAAGGAUGAAAUACUUUUGUAUGUAAACUUCUGUAAGAUGGGAAAAAUAUUCUCCUCGGGAGAAUUGAUUGUACCAUCAGAGUAAGCCCCGGCUAACUACGUGCCAGCAGCCG
RNAcentral lists this ribosomal RNA (491 nucleotides) under uncultured bacterium. RNAcentral's name for it is "bacterial SSU rRNA". It matches the Rfam family "Bacterial small subunit ribosomal RNA", at positions 28 to 517 of the family's 1533-position model. The record is from RNAcentral.